RNAcentral lists this ribosomal RNA (2931 nucleotides) under Edwardsiella tarda. RNAcentral describes it as "bacterial LSU rRNA". It matches the Rfam family "Bacterial large subunit ribosomal RNA". The record is from RNAcentral. Lineage: Bacteria; Pseudomonadati; Pseudomonadota; Gammaproteobacteria; Enterobacterales; Hafniaceae.
GGGUUGUGAGGUUAAGUGACUAAGCGUACACGGUGGAUGCCUAGGCAGUCAGAGGCGAUGAAGGACGUGCUAAUCUGCGAUAAGCGUCGGUGAGCUGAUAUGAAGCAUUAUUAGCCGGCGAUGUCCGAAUGGGGAAACCCAGUGCAAUCCGUUGCACUAUCGUUAAGUGAAUACAUAGCUUAACGAGGCGAACCAGGGGAACUGAAACAUCUAAGUACCCUGAGGAAAAGAAAUCAACCGAGAUUCCCCUAGUAGCGGCGAGCGAACGGGGAAGAGCCCAGAACCUGAAUCAGUUUGUGCAUUAGUGGAAGCGUCUGGAAAGUCGCGCGAUACCGGGUGAUAGCCCCGUACACGAAGGUGCACAGCUGUGAGUUCGAUGAGUAGGGCGGGACACGUGUUAUCCUGUCUGAAUAUGGGGGGACCAUCCUCCAAGGCUAAAUACUCCUGACUGACCGAUAGUGAACCAGUACCGUGAGGGAAAGGCGAAAAGAACCCCGGCGAGGGGAGUGAAAUAGAACCUGAAACCGUGUACGUACAAGCAGUGGGAGCAUCCUUCGGGGUGUGACUGCGUACCUUUUGUAUAAUGGGUCAGCGACUUAUAUUUGUAGCAAGGUUAACCGAAUAGGGGAGCCGUAGGGAAACCGAGUCUUAACUGGGCGUCUAGUUGCAAGGUAUAGACCCGAAACCCGGUGAUCUAGCCAUGGGCAGGUUGAAGGUUGGGUAACACUAACUGGAGGACCGAACCGACUAAUGUUGAAAAAUUAGCGGAUGACUUGUGGCUGGGGGUGAAAGGCCAAUCAAACCGGGAGAUAGCUGGUUCUCCCCGAAAGCUAUUUAGGUAGCGCCUCGUGAACUCAUCUUCGGGGUAGAGCACUGUUUCGGCUAGGGGGUCAUCCCGACUUACCAACCCGAUGCAAACUACGAAUACCGAAGAAUGUUAUCACGGGAGACACACGGCGGGUGCUAACGUCCGUCGUGAAGAGGGAAACAACCCAGACCGCCAGCUAAGGUCCCAAAGUCAUGGUUAAGUGGGAAACGAUGUGGGAAGGCACAGACAGCCAGGAUGUUGGCUUAGAAGCAGCCAUCAUUUAAAGAAAGCGUAAUAGCUCACUGGUCGAGUCGGCCUGCGCGGAAGAUGUAACGGGGCUAAACCAUGCACCGAAGCUGCGGCAGCGACACUAAGUGUUGUUGGGUAGGGGAGCGUUCUGUAAGCCUGUGAAGGUGGCCUGUGAGGGCUGCUGGAGGUAUCAGAAGUGCGAAUGCUGACAUAAGUAACGAUAAAGCGGGUGAAAAGCCCGCUCGCCGGAAGACCAAGGGUUCCUGUCCAACGUUAAUCGGGGCAGGGUAAGUCGACCCCUAAGGCGAGGCCGAAAGGCGUAGUCGAUGGGAAACAGGUUAAUAUUCCUGUACUUGGUGUUAUUGCGAAGGGGGACGGAGAAGGCUAGACCGGCCGGGCGACGGUUGUCCCGGUUUAAGCGUGUAGGUGUGAUGACCUGGCAAAUCCGGUUAUCUUUAACACUGAGGCGUGAUGACGAGGCACUACGGUGCUGAAGUGGUUGAUGCCCUGCUUCCAGGAAAAGCCUCUAAGCUCUAGAUAACACUGAAUCGUACCCCAAACCGACACAGGUGGUCAGGUAGAGAAUACCAAGGCGCUUGAGAGAACUCGGGUGAAGGAACUAGGCAAAAUGGUGCCGUAACUUCGGGAGAAGGCACGCUGGCAUGUAGGUGAAGUCCCUCGCGGAUGGAGCUGAAGCCAGUCGAAGAUACCAGCUGGCUGCAACUGUUUAAUAAAAACACAGCACUCUGCAAACACGAAAGUGGACGUAUAGGGUGUGACGCCUGCCCGGUGCUGGAAGGUUAAUUGAUGGGGUCAGCCGCAAGGCGAAGCUCUUGAUCGAAGCCCCAGUAAACGGCGGCCGUAACUAUAACGGUCCUAAGGUAGCGAAAUUCCUUGUCGGGUAAGUUCCGACCUGCACGAAUGGCGUAAUGAUGGCCAGGCUGUCUCCACCCGAGACUCAGUGAAAUUGAACUCGCUGUGAAGAUGCAGUGUACCCGCGGCAAGACGGAAAGACCCCGUGAACCUUUACUAUAGCUUGACACUGAACAUUGAACCUUGAUGUGUAGGAUAGGUGGGAGGCUUUGAAGUGUGGACGCCAGUCUGCAUGGAGCCGACCUUGAAAUACCACCCUUUAAUGUUUGAUGUUCUAACCUGGUCCCGUAAUCCGGGAUAGGGACAGUGUCUGGUGGGUAGUUUGACUGGGGCGGUCUCCUCCCAAAGAGUAACGGAGGAGCACGAAGGUUAGCUAAUCCUGGUCGGACAUCAGGAGGUUAGUGCAAAGGCAUAAGCUAGCUUGACUGCGAGAGUGACGGCUCGAGCAGGUGCGAAAGCAGGUCUUAGUGAUCCGGUGGUUCUGAAUGGAAGGGCCAUCGCUCAACGGAUAAAAGGUACUCCGGGGAUAACAGGCUGAUACCGCCCAAGAGUUCAUAUCGACGGCGGUGUUUGGCACCUCGAUGUCGGCUCAUCACAUCCUGGGGCUGAAGUAGGUCCCAAGGGUAUGGCUGUUCGCCAUUUAAAGUGGUACGCGAGCUGGGUUUAGAACGUCGUGAGACAGUUCGGUCCCUAUCUGCCGUGGGCGUUGGAAGAUUGAGAGGGGCUGCUCCUAGUACGAGAGGACCGGAGUGGACGCACCGCUGGUGUUCGGGUUGUGAUGCCAAUUGCAUUGCCCGGUAGCUACGUGCGGAAGAGAUAAGCGCUGAAAGCAUCUAAGCGCGAAACUUGCCUCGAGAUGAGUCUUCCCUUGGACCUUGAGUCCACUGAAGGAACGUUUAAGACUAAGACGUUGAUAGGCUGGGUGUGUAAGCGUAGCGAUACGUUGAGCUAACCAGUACUAAUGAUCCGUGAGGCUUAACCUUACAACACCGAAGGUGUUU